UACGUAGGGUGCAAGCGUUAUCCGGAAUUAUUGGGCGUAAAGAGCUCGUAGGCGGUUUGUCGCGUCUGCUGUGAAAACUGGGGGCUCAACCCCCAGCCUGCAGUGGGUACGGGCAGACUAGAGUGCGGUAGGGGAGAUUGGAAUUCCUGGUGUAGCGGUGGAAUGCGCAGAUAUCAGGAGGAACACCGGUGGCGAAGGCGGGUCUCUGGGCCGUAACUGACGCUGAGGAGCGAAAGCAUGGGGAGCGAACAGG
RNAcentral lists this ribosomal RNA (253 nucleotides) under uncultured bacterium. Its description in RNAcentral is "partial 16S ribosomal RNA". It matches the Rfam family "Bacterial small subunit ribosomal RNA", at positions 524 to 776 of the family's 1533-position model. The record is from RNAcentral.